Long non-coding RNA from Scophthalmus maximus (turbot), 2465 nucleotides. RefSeq lists it as uncharacterized. Lineage: Eukaryota; Metazoa; Chordata; Actinopteri; Pleuronectiformes; Scophthalmidae. The transcript is spliced from 3 exons. The record is from RefSeq and is a predicted model, not a curated record.
CAGAGGACAAAAUGAGGAUGAUAAACAAGAACCGCUGGGAGGACCAGACGCCUGCUCGCAGGAUGGAGGAGGAAGAUCAACCCACAAGCUGAGAGGUUGAGUAGACCGGAAUCUAAUCUACACUGUGCUGGGGGAGGAAAAAAGAGUUUUAUUGCAGUUUUAUCAGUAAAGAAUCACAUUAAAAUGCCUUCCUUUGGAAAUCCAAAUCUAAUAGAUACUUAAAAUCAUUUGUCAGGGAAAUAAAUAAAUAAAUAAUAAAAAAUUAAAAAAUCUAAAAUGGAGCACUUGAAGCCGUUUUGCCAGUUUGAUUUUUUUUUUAUGUAGGCUACUCGCAUGAUUCUUGCACUUUAAUAUCUUUAGUAAUAUCUUCAUUGCAUACUAAAUGUAUGCAAUGUAAUGUCCCAUCAGCUGUUUUUUUAACAAACUCUGGGUCACACUGACUGUUGCACAUACACAUUUUAAUGAGGGCAAUCAAAUAUUUUCGUGUUUUUAUAUUUCAAUGCAAUUUCAAAGUGACGACCCCGCUGACUACUACUGUAACACAUACAGAUCAUAGCACACAUACAAGAAAAUAACGAUAAUCCCUGCAUCCAUCCAUCCAUCCCUGCAUCCCUGCAUCCAUCCGCUAGCUGAAAAAGAAAAAUCAAAUGACAUCAAGAGGCACGAAGUGUGAACCAGCCUCCAACAGUAUUCUGAUAAGCGCCCCCUUGACCUUCCACCACCACUGUUAUGUCAGUGUCAGCUCAUAUCCCGUAAGCCCUCGCUUCCCGCCGCCCGUCUGUAAUCACCAGCUCCCACCAAUCGUUGGCCAUAAUGAGAUGUGGGAGCAAAGGAGGCCGAGAGACGUCCUUGGCGGUGCUCCUCCAGCUGCAGGUGUGUCAUCCCGGUUCAUUAUCCCACGGUCGAUUCUUUAUGGUCCUCAUCUGGGCGAGCGGCCAGAGAGUCGGCAAAUUAUGAGCUCCCUCCGUGUCACGCUGACACAUAACCAGGUGCUCUGAUCAUGUCUUUCCAUAUAAACAUGCAUGUGUGCCUCUGUCCCCGAUGGAGGUAUGGCUGUUAGAGCCUUGACAAAGGUGACACUUCUGCCCAAAUUCUGCCCUUCAGCGAGCUCCGCAAAUUGCCCUUCUAAGAAGGGCCUUCUUAUAGGAAAGCUUUGGAUUAAGAAAGGUUAAAUGCCCGAGGGCAGAAUUCACAGGCGACUGAGGUGAAAACGACUUGUGAAAAGUGCCGGUUGGCGACUGGAGAAACGUCACCAGCAAAAUGGACAUUAUUAUCAUUUUAUAUAUGAAUCAGAAUUACAGCAGCAUUUAAAGACACAUCACACACAACAUUGAUCAACCUCACCUCACGCCAUGCGCAUCAUAUUCUUUUAUAGGAAUACAUUUGAAAUGAUGAGGAAAUACAUCAGGCUCGCCUGACAUUUAAGAUCAGCUCCCCCCCCCCCCACCCUCUAUUGACACAACCAUUAAAACCCCAAGCAGCGCUGGCGUACAGUAAACUGGUUUCAUUUUUCACUCUCCUCACUGGGAGCCGAGCGGUCAUUUAUGGCGAGAUUAAGGAGCAUUUAAGACAGAAUGAAACCCCUUUGAGCCGCAGUAUCUUUAUCAUUAGAGCCACUCUGGCCCUGAGCUGACUUCAGCCUCUGUCACACCCAUCAUUCAUAUACUGUUAUUUCACUCUACACACACACACACACACACACACACACACACACACACACACCAAGCCCUCCAUAUGCACCCAGGCUGUUCAUCCUCGGUCAUCUAUUUUCCUCCCUCUCUCUCUCUCUCUCUGAUCUGAAUUUUGUUUCAGCUCCUCCAGCUCAGCUGCGAUAUCUUCUGUAGCCAAAGUUGCAUUUUCUGUGACGUCCCUCCCCAGCGUUUGUUCCGGCGCGAGUUCACGCACCGAUUAUUUAUUGUGUUUUCCACUGAUCCCUAAUAAGGGGGCUUUCAUAGCGCACAUCAAAAAGGCCAGCUGGCGGAGCUGCUGCAUCUGGGGUACGGCUCCUCAAGGCUGCUCUCCGACAGCACACAGAAGAUCAGCCUGUCCACCGGUGUUCAAUCUCACACCCCGCUGACGCACCUCACCAGCCCAAGCCCGAGCUCGUCUGAAGGCUCGUAACCCCCAGGAGAGUCUUUCUUCUGGAAAACCCAAUCGUUUUUCAAUCUUUUACAGAAGCGCAGUGUGAGGCGUGGGCUGCAGUAUCACAGAGGCAGUGCAGGAACGAGGUGUGAUCACAGCCCCGCGGGCUCUUUCUUUCCAGCCCUGCUCUGAGAGUUUGGUUUGGCCGCCGUUCUUCCAGCCCACUCAUCCCAACUCGCAGCAGCUAAGGGUUAGAGGCAAGUUUGAAAUCCAAAGAAUAAAGCGGCGUUGUUUGGCUUUUACCUCACACACUUCGCAUUGAACCACCGUCCCACCUGCACACACACACACACACACACACACACACUCACACACACACACAC